UGGCGGCGGCUGGAUACUAUUGGUUUUAGAGGCAAAUGGUGGUGGUGGAGGAGGUGGCGGCGGCUGGAUACUAUUGGUUUUAGAGGCAAAUGGUGGUGGUGGAGGAGGUGGCGGCUGGAUACUAUUGGUUUUGGAGGCAAAUGGUGGUGGUGGAGGAGGUGGCGGCCGCUGGAUACUAUUAGUUUUGGAGGCAAAUGGUGGUGGUGGUGGCGGUUGCGGUGGCAUUGGCGGAGUCGAUGACCUAGAAGUAGAAGAAAGAGGUAGAAGUAGUGGUGGUGGAGGUGGUGGUGCCGGCGGUGGAGAAGACGAUGGCGUAGAGGUAGAAGAUAGAGGUAGAAAUGGCGGCGGCGGGGGGGGGGGGGGGUGAAAAGUAGAGGUAGAGAUGGCGGCGGCGGUGGCGGUGGAGUUAAAAAUGAUGAACUCGGAGUGGAACAAGGAGGAGGAGGUGGUGGUGGAGGAGAUGGCCCCUGCUUGCUAGAAGAAUCAAUAGCUGUGGGUUCAGAAGGAAUAGAUGUCACAUUGUUAUCUGUUGACUGUAUACGUGGAGGUGGCAGUUG
Molecule: long non-coding RNA, 557 nt
Filed under: Linum usitatissimum (flax)
Lineage: Eukaryota; Viridiplantae; Streptophyta; Magnoliopsida; Malpighiales; Linaceae
Description: long non-coding RNA (LUSI_LNC006240)
Source: RNAcentral